This 72-nucleotide transfer RNA is filed under the name Camelus bactrianus (Bactrian camel). It matches the Rfam family "tRNA". From Rfam's summary of the family: Transfer RNA (tRNA) molecules are approximately 80 nucleotides in length. Their secondary structure includes four short double-helical elements and three loops (D, anti-codon, and T loops). RNAcentral also lists the same sequence under 2 other names. The record is from Rfam by way of RNAcentral. Lineage: Eukaryota; Metazoa; Chordata; Mammalia; Artiodactyla; Camelidae.
GAGGGUAUAGCCCAGUGGUAGAGCGCAUGUUUAGCAUGCAUGAGGUCCUGGGUUCAAUCCCCAGUAUCUUCA